UACGUAGGGUGCAGGCGUUAAUCGGAAUUACUGGGCGUAAAGCGUGCGCAGGCGGCUUCCUAAGUCAGAUGUGAAAUCCCCGGGCUUAACCUGGGAACUGCGUUUGAAACUGGGAGGCUAGAGUGCGGCAGAGGGAGGUGGAAUUCCACGUGUAGCAGUGAAAUGCGUAGAUAUCUGGAGGAACACCGGUGGCGAAGGCGGCCCCCUGGCUCGAUACUGACACUGAGGUGCGAAAGCGUGGGGAGCAAACAGGAUUAGAUACCCUUGUAGU
Molecule: ribosomal RNA, 271 nt
Filed under: uncultured bacterium
Lineage: Bacteria
Description: partial 16S ribosomal RNA
Rfam family: Bacterial small subunit ribosomal RNA
Source: RNAcentral